Prosopis cineraria is the source of this 456-nucleotide RNA transcript. RefSeq lists it as uncharacterized. The record is from RefSeq and is a predicted model, not a curated record. The transcript has 5 exons. NCBI's taxonomy places the organism in Eukaryota, Viridiplantae, Streptophyta, Magnoliopsida, Fabales, Fabaceae.
CAGACAGGUUUCAUGAAAGCCGCUGCUUGUAUCAUGUGAAUCUGAAAUUAGGUUUCUUCUUUUAUUUUGUAUUGACACUUCUUGGUACUUGCUAUGGAUGGACGUGCUGGUCACACUCCUGUGGUUUUAUUUUUUUGGCUUUCCCUAAAAUACUUUUCUUUGCAGCAUUUCUUCUACUUUUAUCCUUCUGGGUUGAUCUUUGCCAUCAGCCAGAUGAUGACGAUGAUUAUGAAGGAAGCUUUUCUGAGGAAACUUUACUAAGAAAGUCCUUUAAUGAUUGUACUUUAGCAGGCAGAGCAAGCCAUAGAAAAUGGUUUCCCUUCGGUUGUCUCAUGUUGGUAAUCGGCAGAAGAUUGUACUUUUGGUUACACUUCUAGUUUUUGUCAUCAUGCUGGUGGCUGUAAUAAUAUGGAUUGGAUUAGGGAAGAAUCCCAUUGAUUCAGCAGUGGCUGCUCG